RNAcentral lists this ribosomal RNA (484 nucleotides) under uncultured bacterium. Its description in RNAcentral is "partial 16S ribosomal RNA". It matches the Rfam family "Bacterial small subunit ribosomal RNA", at positions 30 to 507 of the family's 1533-position model. The record is from RNAcentral.
AUUGAACGCUGGCGGCAGGCCUAACACAUGCAAGUCGAGCGGAUGAAGGGGGCUUGCUCCUGGAUUCAGCGGCGGACGGGUGAGUAAUGCCUAGGAAUCUGCCUGGUAGUGGGGGAUAACGUCCGGAAACGGGCGCUAAUACCGCAUACGUCCUGAGGGAGAAAGUGGGGGAUCUUCGGACCUCACGCUAUCAGAUGAGCCUAGGUCGGAUUAGCUAGUUGGUGGGGUAAAGGCCUACCAAGGCGACGAUCCGUAACUGGUCUGAGAGGAUGAUCAGUCACACUGGAACUGAGACACGGUCCAGACUCCUACGGGAGGCAGCAGUGGGGAAUAUUGGACAAUGGGCGAAAGCCUGAUCCAGCCAUGCCGCGUGUGUGAAGAAGGUCUUCGGAUUGUAAAGCACUUUAAGUCGGGAGGAAGGGCAGUAAGUUAAUACCUUGCUGUUUUGACGUUACCAACAGAAUAAGCACCGGCUAACUUCGUG